This 378-nucleotide long non-coding RNA is filed under the name Anser brachyrhynchus (Pink-footed goose). RNAcentral describes it as "lncRNA (ENSABRG00000018872.1)". Lineage: Eukaryota; Metazoa; Chordata; Aves; Anseriformes; Anatidae. The record is from RNAcentral.
CUUUACUUUGCCAACUUUUCAGAAGCCUAACGUUCAUCAGUGCUGACAAUAUACCUAUUUUUUGCUGUGUUUUGAAGGCACUGUGCAUAGUGGCCUUUUUUGAUCCAUGAAGUAGGAAGAACUUGGAUGACGUGUGGUGAAGCAGCAUAGUAAAGCAUGAGUAUUUCCUGGUCUCCGGACCACUGGAUGAUUUCAAUACUCAGGAGGUGCAGGCACAAAGAGGAAGAGGCAGCAGCCCUAGCCCUUUGCUCUGUGAUGCACCUCAACCACUGUGGAUAUGUUGGGGCAGUCAGGGUCUGGUUAAAGAAGGGCACUCUUUGGCCAGCCUCUGGCAACUCUCUGUGGGCAUGCUGCUUCAGCCCAUGCAGGAUCUCCUAG